UGCAGUCGAGCGGCAGCGACUUAACUGAACCUUCGGGGAACGUUAAGGGCGGCGAGCGGCGGACGGGUGAGUAAUGCCUGGGAAUAUGCCCUGAUGUGGGGGAUAACUAUUGGAAACGAUAGCUAAUACCGCAUAAUCUCUUCGGAGCAAAGAGGGGGACCUUCAGGCCUCUCGCGUCAGGAUUAGCCCAGGUGGGAUUAGCUUGUUGGUGAGGUAAUGGCUCACCAAGGCAACGAUCCCUAGCUGGUCUGAGAGGAUGAUCAGCCACACUGGAACUGAGACACGGUCCAGACUCCUACGGGAGGCAGCAGUGGGGAAUAUUGCACAAUGGGGGAAACCCUGAUGCAGCCAUGCCGCGUGUGUGAAGAAGGCCUUCGGGUUGUAAAGCACUUUCAGUAGGGAGGAAGGUAGUGUAGUUAACACCUGCAUUAUUUGACGUUACCUACAGAAGAAGCACCGGCUAACUCCGUGCCAGCAGCCGCGGUAAUACGGAGGGUGCGAGCGUUAAUCGGAAUUACUGGGCGUAAAGCGCAUGCAGGCGGCCUGUUAAGUCAGAUGUGAAAGCCCGGGGCUUAACCUCGGAAUUGCAUUUGAAACUGGCAGGCUAGAGUC
This 612-nucleotide ribosomal RNA is filed under the name uncultured Photobacterium sp. Its description in RNAcentral is "bacterial SSU rRNA". It matches the Rfam family "Bacterial small subunit ribosomal RNA", at positions 56 to 648 of the family's 1533-position model. The record is from RNAcentral. Lineage: Bacteria; Pseudomonadati; Pseudomonadota; Gammaproteobacteria; Vibrionales; Vibrionaceae.